CCUACGGGCGGGCAGCAGUGGGGAAUAUUGGACAAUGGGGGCAACCCUGAUCCAGCCAUGCCGCGUGUGUGAAGAAGGCCCUCGGGUUGUAAAGCACUUUCAGUGAGGAAGAACGCCUGGUGGUUAAUACCCAUCAGGAAAGACAUCACUCACAGAAGAAGCACCGGCUAACUCCGUGCCAGCAGCCGCGGUAAUACGGAGGGUGCGAGCGUUAAUCGGAAUUACUGGGCGUAAAGCGCGCGUAGGUGGCUUGAUAAGCCGGUUGUGAAAGCCCCGGGCUCAACCUGGGAACGGCAUCCGGAACUGUCAAGCUAGAGUGCAGGAGAGGAAGGUAGAAUUCCCGGUGUAGCGGUGAAAUGCGUAGAGAUCGGGAGGAAUACCAGUGGCGAAGGCGGCCUUCUGGACUGACACUGACACUGAGGUGCGAAAGCGUGGGUAGCAAACAGGAUUAGAUACCCUAGUAGUC
Molecule: ribosomal RNA, 466 nt
Filed under: Vreelandella stevensii
Lineage: Bacteria; Pseudomonadati; Pseudomonadota; Gammaproteobacteria; Oceanospirillales; Halomonadaceae
Description: partial 16S ribosomal RNA
Rfam family: Bacterial small subunit ribosomal RNA
Source: RNAcentral